UACGAAGGGGGCUAGCGUUGUUCAGAAUUACUGGGCGUAAAGCGCGCGCAGGCGGUCUUCCAAGUCAGUGGUGAAAGCCCGGAGCUCAACUCCGGAACUGCCAUUGAAACUGUGAGACUUGAGUAUGAGAGAGGUGAGUGGAAUUCCCAAUGUAGAGGUGAAAUUCGUAGAUAUUGGGAAGAACACCGGUGGCGAAGGCGGCUCACUGGCUCAUUACUGACGCUCAGGCGCGACAGCGUGGGGAUCAAACAGG
RNAcentral lists this ribosomal RNA (253 nucleotides) under uncultured bacterium. Its description in RNAcentral is "partial 16S ribosomal RNA". It matches the Rfam family "Bacterial small subunit ribosomal RNA", at positions 524 to 776 of the family's 1533-position model. The record is from RNAcentral.